CUCCUCCCAGGAAGUUGGGGGCCCCAGCCUCCCCCUACCUGAGUCACCAGCCCUGGGAUGCUCCCGUCAAGGCACAGUUACCUCCGAGACCCGGGGAGGCAAAGCAAGAAAGAUCAGCAAUUACUACAAGAACCUAAUGGUUACUGGAGGCACAAGAUGGAAUGAGCCUAGAUCCUGGAAUCACUGUGUGGAGGAAGGCCAUUAUGAAACACGAAUAUUCCUUUAUUGUGUCAUAAAAUCCUCAUUUCAGAGGGGUCUUGCCCCAUGCCCUGGAGGAAGGAAUGCUGCACAGAAAGGCUAAGAAGAAUCUGAACAGACAGGCCUUGCUGGGUUUCCCCACUCAGUCUAUUAGUAUUAGAUUAUACCCUUUUUGUCUAUCACAUUUCUACACAUUUGUCCUUAUACCAAUCAUGUCUAUCCAACGAAGUCUCCAUAAAAGCCCAAGAGGAGGGGUUUGGGGGAGUUUCUGAACAGCUCAACUCAUAGGAAGGUGAACAAAAACUCAUCCACGUGCCCAGAGGAUGUUGUACCCCAACUCCACAAGAAUGGAAGCUCCUGUUCUUAGGAUUCUUCCAGACCUCGCCCCAUAUAAUCCCUUCA
Rhinopithecus roxellana (golden snub-nosed monkey) is the source of this 600-nucleotide long non-coding RNA. RefSeq lists it as uncharacterized. The transcript is spliced from 3 exons. The record is from RefSeq and is a predicted model, not a curated record. Lineage: Eukaryota; Metazoa; Chordata; Mammalia; Primates; Cercopithecidae.